Molecule: unclassified non-coding RNA, 299 nt
Filed under: uncultured fungus
Lineage: Eukaryota; Fungi
Description: partial contains 5.8S rRNA, ITS2 and 28S rRNA
Rfam family: Eukaryotic large subunit ribosomal RNA
Source: RNAcentral
AAGGAGUCUAACAACUAUGCGAGUAUUUGAGUGGCAAACUCGAGUGCGUAAAGAAACUGAACGCGUGGGAUUUGUUCUCUUACGGGAGGGCAAUGCACCAUGGGCCAGUCCUUGUCUUUGACUUGGAUUGCGCUAGAGCACAUCUGUUGGGACCCGAAAGAUGGUGAACUAUGCCUGAAUAGGGUGAAGCCAGAGGAAACUCUGGUGGAGGCUCGUAGCGGUACUGACGUGCAAAUCGUUCGUCAAAUUUGGGUAUAGGGGCGAAAGACUAAUCGAACCAUCUAGUAGCUGGUUCCCUC